This is a non-coding RNA of Nicotiana tabacum (common tobacco), 1695 nucleotides long. NCBI's taxonomy places the organism in Eukaryota, Viridiplantae, Streptophyta, Magnoliopsida, Solanales, Solanaceae. The record is from RefSeq and is a predicted model, not a curated record.
UUUUUUUUUUCUUUCUGCUUAUGAUGGAUUCUGCUUGGGUUCUAUCUCAAAGAAGGAUGUGUCUGUCUAUCGGAAUGAAAACUAGCAAUUUAAAUGACUGUGUCCGGUUGUAUAGUGAAAGCGGGGUCAAAAGGGCAGCCUGGAGUACGAAGCAUCCCACGUUUAUGCAGGGUCCGGAGAAGGGCCGCACCCAAAGAGGGUGUGAUGUAGGCAGCCUACCCGGAUGCUUUCGUAAAUUUUUCAUUUUGCCUGUUAGGAUUGCUGAUCUUGUUUAUUAUUUGUUUAUAGUUAUCUCCUCUCUUUGAAUUGGUGAUUGUAUUGACUAUUCUGAUUGUUUUGUGGGUGGAAUGGUUAAUGGUGGGUGGUUAAGCUGUAGUCACUAGAAUUAGUUUUUACUAUUAGAAGUCUUGUGCCAACUAUUUGACUGUGAGAAAUGAGAUGCUACUCCUGAUACUUUCAAGUCUUUGCUCAUAUUUGUCUUGGUGACCAUGAAUAAUUUUGGACUAAUUUCCUCCAUUAGCUCAGGAACGGUAAGAACAUGUUAAAGUUUGUUGUUACUAGUUAUAGUUCGCUUCUGACCACCCAGUAGUUACCAUGGAAUGCAAGUUCUGUAGUGACAUUGCAAACUCGUAGGAUUGUUGUUAAAAGUGAACAAGAAACAGUGAAUGGAGCAAGCCAAAUUAGUACCCUUUGUCUCAUGAUUUGUUAUCAAAACUCUUACCAAAAGAGACACUACUAACUGAUAAAAAUGUUAUUCAAUUGAUCUUUGAAUUGCUAAUUUUUGGUAACAAUCUCUGAGAAAUUGAGAAAAGACUAUAUUUUUAUCUGAGGUUCGUGCAAUUUUAUUACUGAUAUAAGCUAAAAGAAGUUUACCCAAGCAAUUUGUCUCUGUGGUUAGAUAGUGAAUUGCAGUGCAUAUUUGUUCCAUGAACUAAAGCAACCCAGAGCGUAGUCUUGUGCUGCCAGAAAGUAGUGUAAUUCUAAUUCAUAUGUGAAAAUGCAAUUCAAGUGGAAAAAUGAUAUAUUCAAGCACCUUUGAACUCGCUGGAUUAGCUUUUCUUAUGGUCUAGGGGAGCCUAUUUUGAAUGGCAAUAUUUGUCACCUUUGUAUGACAUUUUGACUGUGUUUGUCAUGACUUGCCUCUUCACCAUUUAAAUGCCAGUACAAGCCUGGUCGCAUUGUUUUAUCGAGGUUCAGUCCUCCUAGAAUCAGAUUAAGGGAAUGCCGGCAUGGCCCAGCGGUUGCUUCCCCUAGUUUGCAGGGCAGGCUUAUAUGAACUAGACUCUCAUCAGACAAGUUAAAUUCAUGAGUCUCUUCUUAAAUAAGUGAACUCUUAUAUGAAAACUCUUCUGUGUUCCAGUGAUGGAUGAUAAACUGCCUUUGAAACUAGUCAUGUGACAAGAAUGAAAAAUAGCGCAUUUCUUUGCUCAGCUUAUAUCAUUCACAAGACUGGCUCACUUGCAGCAUAUUACAAGCUUCCUCUUAAUCGUGUGGUUGUGUUUCAUGAUGACAUGGAUUUACCAUGUGGAGUUCUUCGUCUUCAUCCCAAGGGAGGUCAUCACAGCCAUAAUGGGUAUGAACUGAAUCCUUCUCCAUCUAAAUCUACUUAAAAAAAGGAAAAUUUUUUUAAUUCAAUGCCAUGAAACCAUCUAUCUGUUCAUUUUCAAUCCGACAGUCCAACCAAUUGUCUAUAUA